This 443-nucleotide ribosomal RNA is filed under the name uncultured bacterium. Its description in RNAcentral is "partial 16S ribosomal RNA". It matches the Rfam family "Bacterial small subunit ribosomal RNA", at positions 338 to 795 of the family's 1533-position model. The record is from RNAcentral.
CCUACGGGAGGCAGCAGUGGGGAAUAUUGGGCAAUGGGCGCAAGCCUGACCCAGCAACGCCGCGUGCAGGAAGACGGCCCUCGGGUUGUAAACUUCUUUUUUUCGGGACGAAACAAAUGACGGUACCGAAGGAAUAAGCCACGGCUAACUACGUGCCAGCAGCCGCGGUAAUACGUAGGUGGCCAGCGUUAUCCGGAUUUACUGGGUGUAAAGGGCGUGUAGGCGGGAGAGCAAGGCAGACGUGAAAUUCCAGGGCUCAACCCUGGAACUGCGUUUGAAACUGUUCUGCUUGAGUGAGGGAGAGGCAGGCGGAAUUCGGUGUGUAGCGGUGAAAUGCGUAGAUAUACGGAGGAACACCAGUGGCGAAGGCGGCCUGCUGGACAUUAACUGACGCUGAGGCGCGAAGGCGUGGGGAGCAAACAGGAUUAGAUACCCGUGUAGUC